RNAcentral lists this ribosomal RNA (429 nucleotides) under Acidobacteriota bacterium. RNAcentral describes it as "Acidobacteria bacterium partial 16S ribosomal RNA". It matches the Rfam family "Bacterial small subunit ribosomal RNA", at positions 355 to 776 of the family's 1533-position model. Lineage: Bacteria; Pseudomonadati; Acidobacteriota. The record is from RNAcentral.
UGGGGAAUUUUGGACAAUGGGGGAAACCCUGAUCCAGCCAUCCCGCGUGUGCGAUGAAGGCCUUCGGGUUGUAAAGCACUUUUGGCAGGAAAGAAACGUCAUGGGUUAAUACCCCGUGAAACUGACGGUACCUGCAGAAUAAGCACCGGCUAACUACGUGCCAGCAGCCGCGGUAAUACGUAGGGUGCAAGCGUUAAUCGGAAUUACUGGGCGUAAAGCGUGCGCAGGCGGUUCGGAAAGAAAGAUGUGAAAUCCCAGAGCUCAACUUUGGAACUGCAUUUUUAACUACCGGGCUAGAGUGUGUCAGAGGGAGGUGGAAUUCCGCGUGUAGCAGUGAAAUGCGUAGAUAUGCGGAGGAACACCGAUAGCGAAGGCAGCCUCCUGGGUUAACACUGACGCUCAUGCACGAAAGCGUGGGGAGCAAACAGG